Molecule: transfer-messenger RNA, 355 nt
Filed under: Rhodobacterales bacterium HKCCE4037
Lineage: Bacteria; Pseudomonadati; Pseudomonadota; Alphaproteobacteria; Rhodobacterales
Rfam family: Alphaproteobacteria transfer-messenger RNA
About the family: Bacterial tmRNA, also known as 10Sa RNA or SsrA, is named for its dual tRNA and mRNA-like properties.
Source: RNAcentral
UCGGUUGAAAGCGGCCCGAGGCGCACGUAUAUAUGCUGUGUCCCCUCGGGGACUAUGGACAUAAACGCGCUCGUAAUAAGCGGAUCGGACCCGGGGGCGGUACCCGGCGGCUCCACCAAUUAUCCUUCAUUUGGGGAUGGUAUGGGGCCGAAACAGGAUCGACGAACGUCUAAAGGGGUUUGCUUUGUCUCGGCGGGGUGCCACCGUAUCGGCCCGAACAGUACAAUUGCAAAUGACAAUCGUGCUCCGGCAAUGGCUCUCGCAGCGUAAGCUGUCCUGAGUCGCCGACUUUAAGCCCAGUCCUCUAGCAAGGGCUGGCGGGGUUCGCAGGCACCUGGCAACAGAAGCCUGCACU